Molecule: ribosomal RNA, 440 nt
Filed under: uncultured bacterium
Lineage: Bacteria
Description: partial 16S ribosomal RNA
Rfam family: Bacterial small subunit ribosomal RNA
Source: RNAcentral
CCUACGGGAGGCUGCAGUAGGGAAUAUUGCUCAAUGGGGGAAACCCUGAAGCAGCAACGCCGCGUGGAGGAUGAAGGUUUUAGGAUUGUAAACCCCUUUUUUGAGAGAAGAUAAUGACGGUAUCUCACGAAUAAGCACCGGCUAACUCCGUGCCAGCAGCCGCGGUAAUACGGAGGGUGCAAGCGUUACUCGGAAUCACUGGGCGUAAAGAGUGCGCAAGCGGGCUUGUAAGUCAGAUGUGAAAUCCUGUAGCUUAACUACAGAACUGCAUUUGAAACUAUGAGUCUAGAGUGUGGGAGAGGUAGGUGGAAUUCUUGGUGUAGGGGUAAAAUGCGUAGAUAUCAAGAGGAAUACUCAUUGCGAAGGCGACCUACUGGAACAUUACUGACGCUCAUGCACGAAAGCGUGGGGAGCAAACAGGAUUAGAUACCCCAGUAGUC